GUGCCAGCCGCCGCGGUAAUACAGAGGUGGCAAGCGUUGUUCGGAAUUACUGGGCGUAAAGGGCGCGUAGGUGGCCUUUUGAGUCAGACGUGAAAUCCCCCGGCUUAACCUGGGAACUGCGUCUGAUACUGGAAGGCUUGAGUUCGGGAGAGGGAUGUGGAAUUCCAGGUGUAGCGGUGAAAUGCGUAGAUAUCUGGAGGAACACCGGUGGCGAAGGCGGCAUCCUGGACCGAAACUGACACUGAGGCGCGAAAGCCAGGGGAGCAAACGGGAUUAGAAACCCCCGUAGUCC
Molecule: ribosomal RNA, 292 nt
Filed under: uncultured bacterium
Lineage: Bacteria
Description: partial 16S ribosomal RNA
Rfam family: Bacterial small subunit ribosomal RNA
Source: RNAcentral